ACGGAAGGCAGCAGUGGGGGAUAUUGCACAAUGGAGGAAACUCUGAUGCAGCGACGCCGCGUGAGGGAAGACGGUUUUCGGAUUGUAAACCUCUGUCUUCAGGGACGAUAAUGACGGUACCUGAGGAGGAAGCCACGGCUAACUACGUGCCAGCAGCCGCGGUAAUACGUAGGUGGCGAGCGUUGUCCGGAAUUACUGGGUGUAAAGGGAGCGUAGGCGGGUAUGCAAGUUGAAUGUGAAAUCUAUCGGCUCAACUGAUAGGCUGCGUUCAAAACUGUAUAUCUUGAGUGAAGUAGAGGCAGGCGGAAUUCCUGGUGUAGCGGUGAAAUGCGUAGAUAUCAGGAGGAACACCGGUGGCGAAGGCGGCCUGCUGGGCUUUUACUGACGCUGAGGCUCGAAAGCGUGGGGAGCAAACAGGAUUAGAUACCCUGGUA
Molecule: ribosomal RNA, 434 nt
Filed under: uncultured Oscillospiraceae bacterium
Lineage: Bacteria; Bacillati; Bacillota; Clostridia; Eubacteriales; Oscillospiraceae
Description: bacterial SSU rRNA
Rfam family: Bacterial small subunit ribosomal RNA
Source: RNAcentral